GAGUUUGAUUCUGGCUCAGGAUGAACGCUGGCGGCGUGCUUAAUACAUGCAAGUCGAACGAAGCACUUUCAGCAGAUCCCUUCGGGGUGAAGCCGGUUGUGACUUAGUGGCGGACGGGUGAGUAACGCGUGGGUAACCUGCCUUAUACAGGGGGAUAACAGCUGGAAACGACUGCUAAUACCCCAUAAGCGCACGGCACCGCAUGAUGCAGUGUGAAAAAGAUUUAUCGGUAUAAGAUGGACCCGCGUCUGAUUAGUUAGUUGGCGGGGUAACGGCCCACCAAGACCGCGAUCAGUAGCCGACUUGAGAGAGUGAUCGGCCACAUUGGGACUGAGACACGGCCCAGACUCCUACGGGAGGCAGCAGUAGGGAAUAUUGCACAAUGGGGGAAACCCCGAUGCAGCCGACGCCGCGUGAGUGAUUGAAGUAUUUCGGUAUGUAAAGCUCUAUCAGCAGGGAAGAUAAUGACGGUACCUGACUAAGAAGCCCCGGCUAACUACGUGCCAGCCGCCGC
RNAcentral lists this ribosomal RNA (514 nucleotides) under uncultured bacterium. RNAcentral's name for it is "bacterial SSU rRNA". It matches the Rfam family "Bacterial small subunit ribosomal RNA", at positions 9 to 518 of the family's 1533-position model. The record is from RNAcentral.